UGGGGAAUAUUGGACAAUGGGCGCAAGCCUGAUCCAGCCAUGCCGCGUGAGUGACGAAGGCCUUAGGGUUGUAAAGCUCUUUUGGCGGGGAAGAUAAUGACGGUACCCGCAGAAUAAGCUCCGGCUAACUUCGUGCCAGCAGCCGCGGUAAUACGAAGGGAGCUAGCGUUGUUCGGAAUCACUGGGCGUAAAGCGCACGUAGGUGGGCAGUUAAGUCAGGGGUGAAAGCCCGAGGCUCAACCUCGGAAUUGCCUCUGAUACUGGCUGUCUAGAGUUCGAGAGAGGUGAGUGGAAUUCCUAGUGUAGAGGUGAAAUUCGUAGAUAU
RNAcentral lists this ribosomal RNA (325 nucleotides) under uncultured bacterium. RNAcentral describes it as "bacterial SSU rRNA". It matches the Rfam family "Bacterial small subunit ribosomal RNA", at positions 355 to 697 of the family's 1533-position model. The record is from RNAcentral.